AAUCUGACUUGCUGUUGAGAUGAGGUGCUCUAGAACAAGCAGAUGAAGAGGAUGCCUGACACAAAGUAGUAUUAUGGUGAUAUUUGGAUAUGAGCUUCUUUUCUAAGUGCACUGAAAUGUGCACUUGCAGCCCAGAAAGCCAACUGUAUCCUCAGCUGCAUCACAAGCAGUGUGACCAACAAACUGAGGGAGAUGAUUCUGCCCCUCUACUCCACCCUUGUGAGACCCCACCUGGAGUACUAAGUCCAACUCUGAGGUCUUCAUCAUAAGAAGGACCACGACCUGCUGGAGCCACAAAGAUGAUCAGAGGGAUGGAACACCUCUCCUAUGAAGUUCGGCUGAGGGAGCUGGGGUUGUUCAGCCUGGAGAAGAGAAGGAUCUGUUUGUUCCCACUGGGCAUCACUGAGAAGAGUCGGGGUCCAUCAUCUUUACACCCUCCCCUCAGAUGCAAAUGGCCUAGAAUACAAAUGGAUCCAUUGCUAAACAUUUCUUCAAGAUUGUUCUGAAGAUGUCC
Long non-coding RNA from Myiozetetes cayanensis, 514 nucleotides. RefSeq lists it as uncharacterized. Lineage: Eukaryota; Metazoa; Chordata; Aves; Passeriformes; Tyrannidae. The record is from RefSeq and is a predicted model, not a curated record. The transcript is spliced from 3 exons.